Molecule: small nuclear RNA, 107 nt
Filed under: Urocitellus parryii (Arctic ground squirrel)
Lineage: Eukaryota; Metazoa; Chordata; Mammalia; Rodentia; Sciuridae
Source: RNAcentral
GUACUCACUUUGGCAGCAUAUAUACUAAAAUUGGAAUGAUACAGAGAAGAUUAGCAUGGCCCCUGCACAAGGAUGGCACACAAAUUCAUGAAAUAUUCUAUAUUAAU